RNAcentral lists this long non-coding RNA (222 nucleotides) under Mustela putorius furo (domestic ferret). RNAcentral's name for it is "lncRNA (ENSMPUG00000024914.1)". The record is from RNAcentral. Lineage: Eukaryota; Metazoa; Chordata; Mammalia; Carnivora; Mustelidae.
UUAGGCAACAUUAGUUACCAUAAAUUAUCAUCUAUAUUUCACAGAUAAAGAAACUAAGAACUGGCAGAUUGGGAAGUGGACUCCUCAAGGUCAAACACAUGGUUAAUAAAUGGUGGAAAAGAUAUUAAGAAAACAGAACAUACAUCUUGUACCUGGUGUGGUGCUUAUUCACCAACAGAAGUUCAGAAGAAAACUGGUUUAUGGUUGGCACCGACACUGAAC